GACUGUUUCGUUUUCGUUCAUUCUCUUUGUUAUUUUGUUUUGUGUUCAGUUUAAAUAAAAAUAACAUGAACACUUACUACGCUGCGCUUUGGUCCACACCUUCUUCAUACGACGACCGUUACACCAGAUCAGAGGCAGUAGGGAUGAUCAGGGAUGUUCUCUUGACAAGUGUGUGAAUUGGAACAUUUUCCUGUCCUGAUUGCAAGGUGAGGCUGUUGACCAGCAGGGUGGACAUGUUACUGCCGUUGAAGGAGGACUGGUAACACUCAGCUGUAAUUACACUACCAGUAGUGCAUCUUCUGGUACAUCCAGUUAACUAGGAACUCUCCUCAGUAUGUCCUGAGAAGAGAUCGUUAUUCAGAAGGGAGCAAUAGUGAUGAGUUUAAGAAGAGGUUUGAUUCCAGGCAGAAUUUCACAUUUUGCUCAGUAGAGUGCUUGUCACAGGAUUCUCAAUGUUUGACAAUGCACCAAAAGAGGAGGAGAGGAAAAUGUCAUGGUGCCAUCAUGGCCUAGCUACAUCAGUGGUUUAUUAUUCUCCCAUUGAUCUCACACUAGCAGACAUGGGGCCCUGGCUGAGUAAUUUACUGAUUCUUGCUGCAUGUUGUUAUGAAUGCAGAGGAGAAGACGCAGUCAUUCAGCCACCAGAAGAUGUGAUCGCUACUGAGGGAGAACAGGUCACACUGGACUGUCAAUUUG
This is a long non-coding RNA of Oncorhynchus nerka (sockeye salmon), 696 nucleotides long. RefSeq lists it as uncharacterized. Lineage: Eukaryota; Metazoa; Chordata; Actinopteri; Salmoniformes; Salmonidae. The transcript is spliced from 3 exons. The record is from RefSeq and is a predicted model, not a curated record.